GGAAAAGACCCGCAGUCUGGGCCCCAGACCCUCCCCGGGGAGACUGGAAAGGAGGCGAGGUGCAGGAGCCCGAGGAGAAAGACUCUACAUCGAGCCCUGUUUGAAGGAUCCUCUCUUUAUGGACAAUCACAAUAUGCUUGGUUGGAUUGGAUUUCUUAUAAAAGAGUGAAGGGGCCGGACAGAAGCAUGGAUCAAGGGGA
RNAcentral lists this long non-coding RNA (200 nucleotides) under Zalophus californianus (California sea lion). RNAcentral's name for it is "lncRNA (ENSZCAG00015024433.1)". The record is from RNAcentral. Lineage: Eukaryota; Metazoa; Chordata; Mammalia; Carnivora; Otariidae.